AAUGAUCCUUAUACUGGAUUCAUUUAUCUUGAAAUGGUAAAUGCAGUUGCCAACCUCAAUCUAUAGUACACAUUAAGCUAUUUAAUUUUUUCUUGUGGAGUUCCCAUCAAGACUCAGCGGUUAACGAACCCGACCAGCAUCCAUUAGCAUGUGGGUUUGAUCCCUGGCCUCGCUCAGUGGCUUAAGGAUCUGGCGUUGCUGUGAGCUGUGGUAUAGACUGCAGACACAGAUCAGAUCCUGUAGUGUAGGCCAGCAGCUACAGCUCCAAUUGGACCCCUAGUUUGGGAACCUCCAUGUGUCACAGGUGCAGCCCUAAAAGCCAAAAAGCCAAAAGAAAAAAAUUUUUUUUCUUGUAAUGUCAUGACUCUGCUUCUGGGAACACUUUCAGGAUCACUAGUGGCCCUUUGUAUGCUGUUAUUCAAGGUUUAUGGUAUUGCACUAAACAUAAAAAAUACUUGAAAACCACAAGAGAUCACUUUUUAUGCAAUAUGCAAUUUACUGGAGAGAUGACUCCAGUAUCAAGUGUUGGAUACUUCCAACACUUGUGCUCACUGCUUACAGCAACAGGAGGUAACUACAAAAUUAUUACUACAGUAUCCUAUGUGCUACAGUUAAUUUUAUGCAGUUAUGCUUUACUCUUGCAUCUUUACAUUUGUUUACCUUUCCCUCAACUGGGAAUGGUGCCAUAGAUGGGGUUUAAGUGUUUGUGUAGGUUUGGAUAAAUUUUAACUGCUUAUAAUAGACUUGUAGGAGUUCCCGACAUGGCACAGUAGGUUAAAGAACCUGACUGCAGUGGCUUGGAUCACUUUGGAGGUGCGGGUUUGAUCCCUGGCCAUGGAGGUCUACAAGUAUUUUAAGCAUUCAUGAUACACUUAACUUCUUUUUUAAAAAAAUAUUUCUAGGCUAUAUGGCUUGUCUGCAAGCUAUUUUCAAAUUAUCACAAAUCUCCAUAAAAAUUUCCAACAUAUUUAAGGGGAAAAAAAGGGUAUAAAUGGCCCCUGUGGAAUUCCCCCUGUGAGUCGGCAGUAUCAAACCCGACUAGUACCCAUGAGGAUGCAGGUUCAAACCCUGGCCUUGCUCAGUGGGUUAAGGAUCAGGUGAUGCCAUGAGCUGUGGUAUAGGUGGCAGACUUGGCUCAGAUCCCAUGUUGCUGUGGCUGUGGCAUAGGCCAGCAGCUGCAGCUUCGAUUGGACCCCUUGCCUGGGAACCUCCACAUGUUGCAGGUACAGUCCUAAAAAGCAAAAAAAUUAAAAAAAAUUUAAAAAUAAAUAAAUGGCCCUUCAUUUCAAACCCAAGUUGUUCAAGGUUCAACUGCACACACACACACACACACACACACACACACACACACACACACACACACACACUCGCGCGCGCAUAACACAUAAAGGCAUGGAACAAAUCUCUUCUUACUUAAAGCAGAGAAUCAAAAUCUAAUAUCAUAUAUUCCUUAAAUAGUUGAGUUAUUCACUUUCAAUGACAUUGUUUCAUAGCACAUAAGAUUAAGAUAUUAGCUAACAUAAUCACUCUUUCUGACAUGUAAUAGCUAAUGAAGACACAUUAUCAAAACAGCAAUAUCAAGUAUUUUAAACUGUCCUUGAAAUAGUAGGCACCAAGAGUUCUUCAUAGGCUCCGCAUUGUUCUUAGAACAGAGCUACUGCCUCUUCUCUUUGCACCUCCUCCCCCUGAUCAAAGCUCUUCCAAAGAAUUGUCUGUACUUAAUUUCCACUAAACUCUCCUUUCUCUCUUGAGCACACUCCAACCUGGUCUUUUUCCCAUUAUGUCAUCAAAGCUGCACUUAAUCAGGAUUACCAAUGACCUCCAUGCAGUCAAAUCUCAAGGAUACAUCUCAGCUUUUAUCUCAUUCCACCUAUGAGUAGCAACUGACUUAUUGAAUGGUUUCUUCUUCCUAAAAGUUUUUUCACUAGAUCUCCAAGACACCCCAUCUGUGGUUCUCCUCCUACCUCAGUGGCCAUUCUUUCUCUCCAUUUUCUAUUGAGUUAAGAUAUAGGAAGUCUAUUAUCUUCCUAAACUCUUAAAAUCAGAGUGUCCAGGUCUCAUUGCAUAGACCCCUUCUCUUCCUUACCUACAUACAGAUCUCAUUGGAGUUCUUAUCCAUUUCAUGAAUUUAAAUAUCAUUUACAUGCUACUGUCUUCCAAAUUUGGAUAUCUAGGCCACUCCUAUGCAAACUAUAGACAUGUAUACAUACCCAACAGGCUAUCUGACAUUUCCAUUUGGAUGUCUACAGGCAGCUCAACAAGUCCAAAACUAAACUGCUAAUCUUCUGCCCCGUACUGCUCUUCCUUCUUCAUUUCAUAGAAGUAGUAAUACCAUUCUUGCUCAGGCCCAAACCUUGAUUCCUUUCUUUCUCUCACAUCCCAAAUCCAACGUAUUGGAACAUUCAAUCAGUCCAAUCAGUUUUACCUACAAAGCUUAUUCACACUACCAGACACACUGUUCUCAUUACCUCCACCUCUGCCACCCUAGUUCAAACCUCCAUCAUCUCAUGCUCCCUUUACUCAGUCAAUUUUUUACCUUGUGAAGAAACUCUUUUAAAAUUUAAGUUAGGGAGUUCCUGUCAUGGCUCAGUGUAAACAAAUCUGACUGGAACCCAUGAGGACACAGGUUCAGUCCCUGGCCUUGCUCAGUGGGUUAGGGAUCCGGCGCUGCUGUGAGCUGUGGUGUAGGUCGCAGAUGUGGCUCCAAUCUGGCAUUGCUGUGACUGUGGCAUUGUCCAGCAGCUACAGCUCCAAUUCAAUACCUAGCCUGAGAACCUCCAUAUGCCGCAGAUGUGGCCCUAAAAAGAUAAGAUAAAAUAAAAUAAAAUAAAAGUUAGAUUUUUACUUUUUCUGCUUAAAACUCUCCUAUGGCCUAAUGCCAUUCAGUUACACUAACAUCUUGCUAUUUAUAGUAGACUGCCUAUAUGCUCUGAUUCUUUUUUCAUCUCCUGUUCUCAGAGUUUUAAAUUCAGUAGGUUUGGGGUAAGGACUGAGAAUCUCUAUUUCUGACAAAUUCCCAGGUGAUGCUGAUGCUGCUGGUCCAUGAAUCACAUUUGGAAAAUCACUGUUAGAAUAUUUUUUAUUUCCCUCCUCAUUUCACUUGCCUAACUUCUUACUUUAUCUCUGUUCCUUCUCUCACCCCAGAACAUGGUGUUCCAUGGCACACUGUACUUAACCUCUCACAUCACUCAUCACAUAAUAUUGUGAUAUUCUAUUUAUGUGUGCGUCUCUCCCAUCAGACUAUAUCCUCAGCACUUAGCACAGUUAGUUAGUGCACACUGUAUAUGAGAGAUAAAUAGAUUCCUUAAUUUUGUACUUUAAAAGACUCAACUGAAAAAGUAUCUUUACAGUCACAGGAUAUUUAGAAGGAGGUGCUUUUAUGUGCUAGAAAUAAAAGAUGAAAACACCAAGGAUCCCUUCCCAGAGAGGCUUAAAAAAAUAAG
RNAcentral lists this long non-coding RNA (3443 nucleotides) under Sus scrofa (pig). Its description in RNAcentral is "lncRNA (ENSSSCG00000056497.1)". Lineage: Eukaryota; Metazoa; Chordata; Mammalia; Artiodactyla; Suidae. The record is from RNAcentral.